This 21-nucleotide non-coding RNA is filed under the name Caenorhabditis elegans. The record is from RNAcentral. Lineage: Eukaryota; Metazoa; Nematoda; Chromadorea; Rhabditida; Rhabditidae.
UCGGGAAAUUGAUAUUUACCG